This 510-nucleotide ribosomal RNA is filed under the name uncultured bacterium. RNAcentral describes it as "partial 16S ribosomal RNA". It matches the Rfam family "Bacterial small subunit ribosomal RNA", at positions 28 to 507 of the family's 1533-position model. The record is from RNAcentral.
GACGAACGCUGGCGGCGUGCUUAACACAUGCAAGUCGAACGAAGAGCGAUGGAAGCUUGCUUCUAUCACUCUUAGUGGCGAACGGGUGAGUAACGCGUAAUCAACCUGCCCUUCAGAGGGGGACAACAGUUGGAAACGACUGCUAAUACCGCAUACGAUCUAAUCUCGGCAUCGAGGAUAGAUGAAAGGUGGCCUCUACAUGUAAGCUAUCACUGAAGGAGGGGAUUGCGUCUGAUUAGCUAGUUGGGGGGGUAACGGCCCACCAAGGCGAUGAUCAGUAGCCGGUCUGAGAGGAUGAACGGCCACAUUGGGACUGAGACACGGCCCAGACUCCUACGGGAGGCAGCAGGGGGGAAUCUUCCGAAAGGGACGAAAGUCUGACGGAGCAACGCCGCGGGAGGGAUGACGGCCUUCGGGUUGUAAAGCUCUGUUAAUCGGGACGAAAGGCCUUCUUGCGAAUAGUGAGAAGGAUUGACGGUACCGGAAUAGAAAGCCACGGCUAACUACGUG